AACGCGAAGAACCUUACCUGGGCUCGAAAUGGAGUGGACCGGAGUAGAAAUAUUCCUUCCCCGCAAGGGGCUGCUCUAUAGGUGCUGCAUGGCUGUCGUCAGCUCGUGUCGUGAGAUGUUGGGUUAAGUCCCGCAACGAGCGCAACCCUUAUUACCAGUUGCCAUCAUUAAGUUGGGCACUCAGGUGAGACCGCCUCGGAUAACGGGGAGGAAGGCGGGGAUGACGUCAAGUCCUCAUGGCCUUUAUGUCCAGGGCUACACACGUGCUACAAUGGCGGAUACAAAGGGUUGCGAACCCGCGAGGGGGAGCCAAUCCCAAAAAGUCCGCCCCAGUUCAGAUUGGAGUCUGCAACUCGACUCCAUGAAGCCGGAAUUGCUAGUAAUCGCGGAUCAGCACGCCGCGGUGAAUACGUUCCCGGGCCUUGUACACACCGGAGUA
RNAcentral lists this ribosomal RNA (439 nucleotides) under uncultured bacterium. RNAcentral's name for it is "bacterial SSU rRNA". It matches the Rfam family "Bacterial small subunit ribosomal RNA", at positions 958 to 1398 of the family's 1533-position model. The record is from RNAcentral.